Molecule: ribosomal RNA, 209 nt
Filed under: Vibrio parahaemolyticus
Lineage: Bacteria; Pseudomonadati; Pseudomonadota; Gammaproteobacteria; Vibrionales; Vibrionaceae
Description: partial 16S ribosomal RNA
Rfam family: Bacterial small subunit ribosomal RNA
Source: RNAcentral
AAAUUGAAGAGUUUGAUCAUGGCUCAGAUUGAACGCUGGCGGCAGGCCUAACACAUGCAAGUCGAGCGGAAACGAGUUAUCUGAACCUUCGGGGAACGAUAGCGGCGUCGAGCGGCGGACGGGUGAGUAAUGCCUAGGAAAUUGCCCUGAUGUGGGGGAUAACCAUUGGAAACGAUGGCUAAUACCGCAUGAUGCCUACGGGCCAAAGA